AAUGCAGGAUGUCAGCUACCUACAAAUAAACAUGUCAUGUCAUGUGAUGAAUGAAAAUGAAUUCCAGGAUGAAUUAGGAAACUCAGCGUUGGGACUGCGUGCUCUUUGCAUGUUCUAGCCACUGGCUUUGGACCUCCCCCUGCCCACCUUGGCAUAGGCUCUGCUCUAACAUACUUUCCCCCAGCUGAAUCCUGAGAUGACUGAAGGAAGGUCGGGUCUAGUGGAAACAAACCUCGGAAAGCUGGGAGGUGGAGUGACAGCAUUCACAUCGUUGAAACUCUAGCUAAGAUACCAAGUCCCCCAGCAGGGCUGGCUGGGGCACUCUAACUGCACACCCAUUCACAAGUGAAAAAUACCCAGAAGAAGGACAGGAAGGAGGGGGGUCUCCUUGGUGUCUCCAGCCUAUGACACUCCAUUCCUGAGAGACCUGUGUUCAGACGGGAUCUGCAGACAGAAAGGUGUGAUCUCCCCCACCUCGGCAGGUGUUCCUGGCUGCAUCUGUAAAUGCCUCUUAGAGGACAGCUGGAGGGAUCCAGAGGAAUGACAUGGGGAGAAAAUCCAAGCAAGCGUCCCCAUCGGAAACUCCAUGCACGCAGAGAAAGGCAGCGUGGAGGAAGUUAGGGAAUCAACGAUUUGAAAAGAUUUUAGGUUCCAAUUUGAAAUACUUGGAACAUAUCAAAAAUACUCUUUACAGGUGGAAACAACUCUGAAACCUUCUUUUCUUCUCACUGAAGAUUGUGAAUGAAAUGUAGGCCAGCCCAGAAACAACGUACAUAAAACCGCGCAGUUUGCGACAGACCCAGUACGGCCCCGGCCUUCAGCGGCUGGAAAACCUUCCCGACUUAGGAAAGCGCAUUUGUCCGCGUGGAAGUCCGCCCAGUGGCAGGUCACUCCUCCAGCCUGUUCUAUACUAGCGAGCUGCAUUUUAUAAACAAAACCUCUGAAGGCACCAAGUCAUCCAGAAAAUCUGAAGCAAUUAAAGACGAGUACGAAAAGUCUGAAAUAGCAAAGUUCUCACCAUGUGACUGAACUGGCCUGUGAGGAAGAGGAUCCAGCUGCUUUCUGAGAACUUCUGUGGUCAGAAGGAGAACCCGGUUCAUGAGCUCGUUCACCUGAGGACACAGGCGCACCUUUAACACUUUAUAGCCCAACAAAACCCCCUCCACUGGAUUCUAUAGCUGGCACCCCUGAGCCUCUUACAAACCCCGCUCUGUACUAGGUAAUAAUGCCCACCGCCCCCCUCUGCGUUCCCCACCCCUGCGGCAAGGCUGCAAAGGCAGGGCCACAGCUACGGUCCCCGUAGGUGGCUUGCACCUGCCCGCGAGGGCCGUGGGCAGCCUUGCAGGCCCCAGCCCCGUCCCUCCAGCUCCCCGCUCACACACUGCGGGGCUCUCGGUGGGCCCCACUUAGGGCCUGUGUCUUCAGGUCGGUUGUCCCUAUCCACCUGUCACCUCACCAGCACCGGCUCUGAGCAGCUCUGCGUCUGCCUGAGGCUGGCUGUGAUGCCUCUGACAGCGUAGGCACUAAGCACACGUCUGCAUGAACGCGUUACAAAACGAAACAGCCGUACCUCUACCCGCAUCAGUGAGGGUGUGCAAGAGCAGCACAGUAGCGGACCCGCCCGUACCUGAUUGGAUAAAUAAUCCAAGGAAGUUUGUUGCUCGUCCAUCAUGU
Molecule: long non-coding RNA, 1674 nt
Organism: Ailuropoda melanoleuca (giant panda)
Lineage: Eukaryota; Metazoa; Chordata; Mammalia; Carnivora; Ursidae
Exons: 3
Source: RefSeq, a predicted model, not a curated record